UUGACUUGGACAGUAAUUUUUAUGAUUUGAUCUCAAAUCAGGUAGGACUACCCGCUGAACUUAAGCAUAUCAAUAAGCGGAGGAAAAGAAACUAACAAGGAUUCCCCUAGUAACGGCGAGCGAAGCGGGAAGAGCUCAAAUUUAAAAUCUGGCAGUGUAUUCUGUCCGAGUUGUAGUCUAGAGAAGCAUCAUCCGUGCUGGACCAUGUACAAGUCUCUUGGAACAGAGCGUCAUAGAGGGUGAGAAUCCCGUCCUUGACAUGGACUCCCAGUGCUUUGUGUUGUGCUCUCAACGAGUCGAGUUGUUUGGGAAUGCAGCUCAAAAUGGGUGGUAAAUUCCAUCUAAAGCUAAAUAUUGGCGAGAGACCGAUAGCGAACAAGUACCGUGAGGGAAAGAUGAAAAGCACUUUGGAGAGAGAGUUAAACAGUACGUGAAAUUGUUGAAAUGGAAACGCUUGAAGUCAGUCGCGUUCUCUGGGAUUCAGCCUUGCUUUUGCUUGGUGCAUUUCCUAGUUUACGGGCCAGCAUGAAUUUUGACCAAUGGAAAAAGGCUUGGGGAAUGUGGCACCUUCGGGUGUGUUAUAGCCCCUUGUCACACACGUUGGUUGGGAUUGAGG
This 616-nucleotide ribosomal RNA is filed under the name Thanatephorus cucumeris. RNAcentral's name for it is "eukaryotic LSU rRNA". It matches the Rfam family "Eukaryotic large subunit ribosomal RNA", at positions 1 to 591 of the family's 3401-position model. Lineage: Eukaryota; Fungi; Basidiomycota; Agaricomycetes; Cantharellales; Ceratobasidiaceae. The record is from RNAcentral.